GCGACACCCAGUUUGCGCUCUCGGCU
This 26-nucleotide non-coding RNA is filed under the name Cricetulus griseus (Chinese hamster). The record is from RNAcentral. Lineage: Eukaryota; Metazoa; Chordata; Mammalia; Rodentia; Cricetidae.